CUUACGUAGUAAAUGUAUGCAGAUCUUAUUGGAAUUCCAUUAGCACCAGACAAUUGGUAUCCUUAAUUAUUGUAUGAGUGUUUAGGAAGAUCUAUACAUUACGAUCCACAUCCAAUUUUAGGAGCUUUUGAUUCUGUUAUCGUAAUGGAAGAGGUGAUUACAGCGCCUGUUUUGCCCUCCAAUCUCCCUCUUCUUUCUGCUUUCCUCUCUUUGUUCAUCGCUCAGUUUCUCAAAGUCUUCACCCAUUGGUAGUAGUUUAAAGAACGAAAAUGGGAUACGAGAAGGAUGCUUACCUCAGGUGGCAUGCCAUCGUCACAUUCGGCAACAGUUACAUCUCUUGCUGCUUGCAUUGGAUUACAAGAGGGCAUUCGUUCAUCGUCGUUUGCCAUUGCAGUGGUUUUGGCAUGUGUUGUAACUAGUUACAAGUUACAACACUCGGAUUCCGUUCUUCAUAUUUCUGUUUGUUCAUUAUAGAUUUUGACAAAUGCUUUAGAUGAACACAUAUCUUGAUUCUGAUUGAGAUUAAUUUCUGUUUUACGGGAAAUUCUGUAGGAUCA
This is an RNA transcript of Helianthus annuus (common sunflower), 557 nucleotides long. RefSeq lists it as uncharacterized. The transcript is spliced from 2 exons. Lineage: Eukaryota; Viridiplantae; Streptophyta; Magnoliopsida; Asterales; Asteraceae. The record is from RefSeq and is a predicted model, not a curated record.